Molecule: ribosomal RNA, 497 nt
Filed under: uncultured bacterium
Lineage: Bacteria
Description: partial 16S ribosomal RNA
Rfam family: Bacterial small subunit ribosomal RNA
Source: RNAcentral
GAUGAACGCUGGCGGCGUGCCUAAUACAUGCAAGUCGAGCGAACAGACGAGGAGCUUGCUCCUCUGACGUUAGCGGCGGACGGGUGAGUAACACGUGGAUAACCUACCUAUAAGACUGGGAUAACUUCGGGAAACCGGAGCUAAUACCGGAUAAUAUAUUGAGCCGCAUGGUUCAAUAGUGAAAGACGGUUUUGCUGUCACUUAUAGAUGGAUCCGCGCCGCAUUAGCUAGUUGGUAAGGUAACGGCUUACCAAGGCAACGAUGCGUAGCCGACCUGAGAGGGUUAUCGGCCACACUGGAACUGAGACACGGUCCAGACUCCUACGGGAGGCAGCAGUAGGGAAUCUUCCGCAAUGGGCGAAAGCCUGACGGAGCAACGCCGCGUGAGUGAUGAAGGUCUUCGGAUCGUAAAACUCUGUUAUUAGGGAAGAACAAAUGUGUAAGUAACUAUGCACGUCUUGACGGUACCUAAUCAGAAAGCCACGGCUAACUACGUG